CCUCGGGUCUGCCCCUUAAGCUUCGCAGUCUCACCUGUAAAGUCUUCCACUUUCAGCGGGGCCAUACCUGCCUCCUAGCCGCCCUGAUGGGCUCUCACGAAAUCAGAUGAUACCGCCACUGGGCGGGACUCGGAGAGCAGCAAAUGGCUCUGGUGAAAUCACCUCCCAUCCUCCGCUGAGGGGGGACAGGAAGCUGCAGCGAAGAGAGAGAUGGAGAAAACAUUCACCUGAUGGAGGAAGUCACAAAAGACAAGAUGGGCCUUUCCAAUUUCUACCUUCAAGUCCCACCAUUAACACACCACGAGGGAUGCAGACUCAGGCUCGGUCCUCAUGUGCCCACUGACUGGCCGUGUGGCCUUGCCUCAGUUUCCUCAUCUGAAACUUGAAAGGGAUGGAACUCUUGCUUUCACUGGCUCCUUUCAGCUCAGAAACUGAAGGCUUCCAUACGAGCUGGGUGAUGUCUCAGAACCAGGAAAGGGCUGAGGAAGACAAGACAUGGCCUUGGAGCAAGGAGAGCCUCCUCCAGGGACCCAUGCCUGGUCUCCCUCCCGGACGCAGCACUUCUGACUGGAGCACCGGCACCCCCAGCCUCAGACCACACGGCCCCGCCAUUCAUUUUUAUAUUUUCUAACCUCUCCCCCUGGUGUAGGGGCCGACCCAGCUCUGGCACACUUCAAGGCACUCACAGCCUCAUGACCGUCUCAUGACACCCCCUGUCCCCAAAGCCAGCCCUCUGAGGAAGCAGAGCCUGGAACAGUUAUCCAAACAGUAGGCAGAAGAGGAAGCCACACAGGGCCCCAUGAAGCGCACCAAACCAAGCUGAGAGCCAGGGAAAGCAUGCUUUGAAUCCUGCGCCUGCCACUGAUUUGCUGGGUGACCUUGGCCUAGCUUCUUCAGUCCUCUGGGCGUCGCUUUCCUGAUCUGUCAAGAGAGGCCUGGGACUGGUCUCUGCCUGAUCUUCCAGCUCUGACAGCCUGGGCAUCACUGGGAUCUCAGGAUCCCAGCAGCACCACUGACCCCGACCAUCUGGGCCCCGCGGACUCCAGACAGGCGGACCUGACAGACAGCCAACUCGGGGGAGUUCUGUGGCACCAGGGACAGAGCUCAGCCCCACAGAGCCCAGCUGCUGGAGGCCGUCUGAAGGCAGACGGCUGCUGAAAUUCAGGAUCAAAUGGGUGUCACGCUUUCUCAGAGUUGGAACUGCUCAGCUCGGGAUGGGGUCAGAGGACCAGAAGGAGGCUUUGUGCAUUCUCGGUGCCACACUGCCUAGUAGGCGAAAGUGGCACCCCUCCUGCUCCAUCUCUGCUGGAUUUGAACCAUAAACACAGCCCUUUUCUGAAGGGAAGGGCUUAACACAAACCAGAUGUGGUAGGGACUUUCCCCCACCCCCUCCUGGCCCUAAAAUUAAACAUUCAGUGUCUCCUCUGCCAAAA
Molecule: long non-coding RNA, 1433 nt
Organism: Suricata suricatta (meerkat)
Lineage: Eukaryota; Metazoa; Chordata; Mammalia; Carnivora; Herpestidae
Exons: 2
Source: RefSeq, a predicted model, not a curated record